Molecule: ribosomal RNA, 293 nt
Filed under: uncultured bacterium
Lineage: Bacteria
Description: partial 16S ribosomal RNA
Rfam family: Bacterial small subunit ribosomal RNA
Source: RNAcentral
AAGAACCUACGGAGGGCAGCAGUGAGGAAUAUUGGUCAAUGGGCUUACGCCUGAACCAGCCAAGUCGCGUGAGGGAAGACUGCCCUAUGGGUUGUAAACCUCUUUUGUCAGGGAGCAACGCCGGCUACGUGUAGCCGGACUGAGAGUACCUGAAGAAAAAGCAUCGGCUAACUCCGUGCCAGCAGCCGCGGUAAUACGGAGGAUGCGAGCGUUAUCCGGAUUUAUUGGGUUUAAAGGGUGCGCAGGCGGUCUGUUAAGUCAGCGGGCAAAGCCCGGGGCCCAACCCCGGCCCG